UGGGGAAUAUUGCACAAUGGGGGAAACCCUGAUGCAGCGACGCCGCGUGAGCGAAGAAGGCUUUCGAAUCGUAAAGCUCUGUCCUAUGGGAAGAUAAUGACGGUACCAUAGGAGGAAGCCCCGGCUAACUACGUGCCAGCAGCCGCGGUAAUACGUAGGGGGCAAGCGUUGUCCGGAAUCACUGGGCGUAAAGGGUUCGCAGGCGGAAAUGCAAGUCAGUUGUGAAAGGCAGAGGCUCAACCUCUGUAAGCAAUUGAAACUGUAUUUCUUGAGAUGUGGAGAGGCAAGUGGAAUUCCUAGUGUAGCGGUGAAAUGCGUAGAUAUUAGGAAGAAUACCGGUGGCGAAGGCGACUUGCUGGACACAAACUGACGCUGAGGAACGAAAGCGUGGGUAGCAAACAGG
Molecule: ribosomal RNA, 403 nt
Filed under: Fusobacteriota bacterium
Lineage: Bacteria; Fusobacteriati; Fusobacteriota
Description: Fusobacteria bacterium partial 16S ribosomal RNA
Rfam family: Bacterial small subunit ribosomal RNA
Source: RNAcentral